Molecule: small RNA, 61 nt
Filed under: Caenorhabditis elegans
Lineage: Eukaryota; Metazoa; Nematoda; Chromadorea; Rhabditida; Rhabditidae
Description: Unclassified non-coding RNA R08C7.18
Source: RNAcentral
UUUAGGCUUAGGCUUAGGCUUGGGCGUAGGCUUAGGCUUAGCCUUAGGCUAAGGUUUAGGC